Molecule: long non-coding RNA, 1124 nt
Organism: Esox lucius (northern pike)
Lineage: Eukaryota; Metazoa; Chordata; Actinopteri; Esociformes; Esocidae
Source: Ensembl
ACCAGGGAGAGAGGGUGUGAUAACAUCAGUUCCAACAGCCUCCAACUGGUCUGUCUUGUCUCUGUAAAAGCGUGGAAACUGCCACACCCACAAAUGAAACAAAAUAACUUCAUUAGGACAUAUGGCCCACUACAGAAGCACAACAACAACACCCAGUUUCAUUCAAGUAUCUUAGCAAUCAAGAAAAACUGUAAUGAAAUGUACCAAGAACUUAAGUAGAUAUUACCUUAAACGGUAAAGUGUUUGCCCACUGCAUUCUCAAGUCAUUAGUUACAUUAAUUUAAACCAACAAAAAAGCAACACAGUAUAUAGCUUCAGGGAGCGUUUAUGACACAACAGAACAAACAUUCUCUUGACGUCAUAACCACAAGCCCAGUCAGCCGGCUCCAACGGCUAACAAAGACUGGCUAGCUAGCUCACAUUUUUAACAGUCUGAAAGCAAGGUGUUUUACCUAGAAAACGUUUGUUUUAUUUCAUCAAUUUUUCUGGGUUAUCCUCUAGCAAUCUGGUUACCAGUGUAAAGUUGUUGUUGCUUAUCUCUCUUAUCUACCUAGUUCGCUAAGGUGACGUUAGCUUUACCAUAAUUAGCUCAGGAUCGCAAACACGCUAGCUAACGGCUAGAUGUUAACUAGCUAAUGUGGAUGUUUAGUCAUCAACUAGCCAGUUAACAGUAACUUUACAGAUUUAAGAGUUGGUUGAUUUGAUGACACUAUUUCAUCUAUCUAAUUAACUUAUUACUCCCUAAAUGUACCUAAACAAAUACCACUUCUGCUUACUUCUGAUCCCUUUCUCCCCGAAGUCCCAGUCCACCUCGCGCGUGGUGCUUCAUUUAGGCGCGCUCAAGAUAAUCAUGACCAUGAACGAAACUAACCUCAGAAACUACUCAAGAAAAACAGUGUUGACAGAGAUGGAAUUUAACAUGUCUUGGUCCUACUUUGUAAAUGUAUCAUAAUAUUAUAAAUAUAGUCCAUGAAGCAUAAACGUAUCAAUGUACGAAGACUAUUUUCGGUCCCUUCUUAUAGGGUAAAUCAGUGGUUCCCAACCAGGGGUACUCCAAGCAGUGCAAAUUAUUUUUGGGGGUACAGUAACUGAAAAAGGUUGGGAGCCACUGGGGUAAAUGAUUC